AAAAGCCCCUACCCUGCUGCUUGGGACGGGUAGGGAAAGGCAAAGGUUGGCUUUGGGUUUGGUCAUUCAGCAGGGAGGGGCAAGGCUCCUCCGGACAAUGCUCCUACAACUCAGGAAGGAGGGACUGCGGCGCAGAGAAACAGGUGGCAGUGUGUAAUUUUUAGGGCGGACUCUUCAUCCCCCAAAUGCCUUCGGGGGAUAUUGGAUCGUUUGUAGCCUAGAGAAGCAUAGUUACAGACUGGGCUGGUGCACUCUGUUUCAGUUGGGUCGCUGUGAGAAGGAGAGCCAUUCAGAGAUCUAUUUAAAGCCAAGCGGAGUGUUUACACACAUCACGGAAGAGGUCAGGCAGGCAGAUGCUGAGCUACUCGGAUUACAGAAGCAGAGGUGUCUCUACACCACACAGACCCAUUCUGCUCAAUGUCCCUAAGGUGUCCCCAGGAGGCAUCCCAACUCACAGAACUCUGCUUCUUUGAUGACUGGGAUAAAAACACCAACUCCCACUCAAAUGGACAAUCGUUUAUUUCUGCUCAGCAUGGGUCAAUGUUAAUUGUUCAGAAUUUCCUUCCGUGGUAGCUCCGACGGCUUGGGCCAUCUGGUGGGACAUCCCACGUUCGCACUUGUGGCUUUCCUAGACACUCAGCUCACCCGGGGGCCUCUCUCCGGACCACGGAAGAGGACAAGGCUUCCAUCUAAAAUGCCUUACUCAGAGGCGACUUGAACGACGGCUUUCAUUUUCAAAUAAGGAAAUGCCAGAGUUCCUCCUACCACAUGCUUCCACACACGACAGCAACAGAAUGCUUUCCCAACAAUCACGAGAGUCAUUAUAAGCCAGGAACUGAAGUGAUUCACACAGGGAGCCAAGGGGUGUGGAAAGGUGAUGUUUACCUCGAAGCGCGGGGGGAGGAGUCGCAGGCCAUGGCUAAGUUGGUAAAGGAUUUGUGCAGGUUAUUAAAAAAAAAGAAAAAAGAAAAAGAUUUCAUUGCAGCGGGUUUUCUCCCCCUGAGAGGAAUAAGUGUAUAUAAUUUUAAGAUGGCAAUGUGCGUGCGUUGAAUGGGGCAUCCUGCAGGGUUUUGUCCUGGCAACAGUGAUCUUGUUUGCGCCUGCGGGUUAGAGUGUUUGCGAGCUGAGAGCUUGGGUGGGAAGCGGAAGUCUCCGGGCUCCGAAGGACUGGGAGGGCUUCAGCAAACACGUGACUCUGCGUGUCAGGCCAGCAGCUGUGCUGGAACAGGCGAGAACUAGACAAAAAGAAAAAGAAAAGAAAAGGCCCCAGAAAGGGGAUUGUAGUUGGUGUUCUACAUGAAAGAAAACCAAACAAACGAGCUGGUGCUGGGAAGACACCUGAGAUCCAGUGGAUAGGUGGACAGGCAAAUUGGCUUUUCUUCUGUCUAAUUCAAGAGCUGCUUGCCCUUUGAAACUCUCCAGGCCUUUACUGAGAGGCUUACUACCCUGUACAAAUAUCCCGCUGUAUGGAGGAUGGGACAUCCAUGUCUCUUCACAAGCUCCCCCAGAGCCCACACACCUUGGAUGUGGGAAGUUUCCAUUCGCUGAUCAGCCACUUAAGACUGGAACCGGCUCAGAGCCGAGAGAGUAUUUGAACACCCGGAAGAAGCAAAGAACGCUGUCCGGACUGCUGCAGACAACGGCGAGUGCAGAUGUGUUCAUCAGGACAAAUGCUGCUGCAGGCACUGGGGGUGGCUUAAAGGUUAAGAGGAUUUGCUGGACCGUCAGGAGGAGCAGAGUUUGGACCUGAGCACACUUGUGACAAGCUGGGCGUCCUGCACAUACCUGUAACCCAAACUCUUAAUGGCAGCAGAGACUGGAGGUGUAGAAGAGACUGCCUCAAAGAAAUAGUCAGGGAAGAGGAGGGAGGGACCCUCAACUCCCGCUUCAGGCCUCCGAGCGUGUGCAGAAACACUCACAGGCUCAUGUUUAUAUUCCCAGACACAAACAAACACGUGAAUAACUGGAUAAAUAUGUCAUAAGUAUGUACACCACAUGUCUGCCUGGUAAUCAGGAAGGUUAGAGGAGGAAUCAGAGCUCCUGGAACUGCAGUUAGACAGCCCAGCAGGUGCUGGGAACAGCACUCAGGUUCUCUGCAAUAGAAUGCGAUCCAUAGCUGAGCCAUCCCUCUAGCCCUUUAGGUACACUGUUACUGAUUCUUGGAGAAUUUUACGCAGUGUAUCUUGAUCAUGUGCACCCCAGCUUCUCCCCUCUACUCUUCCCUGACUGCCCCCUUCCCUAAACCCUCAAAUUCAUGUACUCUUUUUACUGAAGUUUGUCCUCUCUGAAUACUUUGGGGGGAAAUGGGGAGUCAUCCACUGGAGUGUGGUCGCCCUACCUGGAGCCACAUCCUUAAAGAAAACGGAGCAUCCCUCCCCUAGAAACCACCAACUUGCAAAUGGUAUUUUUAAAAUGUUACUUAAUAAUUAUUAAUUAUUAAUAUGACCGAGGAAGCCCCCAAUAACCAAGGCAGAGACCUGAGGAUGUUUAAAUCAGUUUUAGCACAGUCGUUGGGCGAAGGACCCCUAACAUAUUUUUCUAUACACUAGACCUGUUAAUUGUCCAGCUAUGCUCCCCAAGUACUUGUUUGACUCGCACCUAGAUCACUGCUGCUCCAUCAGCCUGGCCACAGGUUCCUGGUUCAUCAGGUCUAAUGGAGACCACUGGUCCCCUCCUUCUUCUUUCACCUUUUCCUCCCCCUUACCCUCUCUCCCUUCUCCCCCUUCCCCCUCUCCCCGGUGGGCCCAACCUGUGACCCUGUAGAGUCUGGUAAUGGAAACCCUACCUACCUCUCUUCUCCCCAGCAAUUGACUGACAGCCACAUUUAUUUAACCAAUAGUUUUAAAUUGCGGGGCAAGGUUUAUACAGCCAGGCUGGUUUUGAGAGUUCUGGUGGCAAACAGAUCUUAGGGUACAGAACUUAGCAUUUGAAUACACAGCAGCAGCAGACCAAUCCCAAUGUCCGCUGUCCACAGCCCUUGAGCUCCAGACGUCCCUUCCACUCCAUGUAAGAGUGUUCACUGCCCUGCGCUUGUCGAAGCAACCACAACUCCUGUGAAGGUUAAAUCAAUAGUUUUUCAAAGAAUGACAGUAGAUUUUUAAGUCUCUCAGUAUCCUGGGUUUCAGGAUUCCAAACAGUCGGAAAGCAAGACUCAUAAAGACACAGUGGCUGCCCCAUCUCGAUUACUGAGGGGCAAGGCAGGAGAAGGAAUUGUUCUCCUUGUGGGGUAACUGCUGAGUCCCAGGAAGAAGUCACAGGUAGCUGGGGGACAUUUCGUGUUGUGUAACAAAUGAUUUACUUUGAAUGUAGUGAGAUAUCUCCCAGCUCAUGUCCUGAGAGAUGAUCUUUGUUAACUGGGUACCACAGGUUAGCCAGAUAGUAAUGUGUGCUUUGGGAAAAUUCCUGAGGACUGAUCUGAGCCACAUGGGCAGGCUAUAGAAAGGCCGGAGGCCAAGUCAUAUGUUCUCUCUGCCUAUAUUUCUUAUUCAUGCCAAUAGAAUGGCAUGUCCAAACUUCUUGGAAAAUACAUGAAUUGAUACUUCAAGAAGAUUCCACCCAACAUUCCUCUCUUGGUCGAUACUGCUCUGUAUUCUUCUCUGGUGAUAUAGGAAGUCCCUGGGCUUGAGUAAGUCUCCAGCACUGUAUCCCAAAACUGUACCGACAGCUCCAAACACAUCCCAGAUGAGAAAGAUAAGAAGGAAUAUUUGUUAGUGAACAAAACCAGUGAGAAGGCUUUGAACACAAAGCUCUAGACACUGAUAUGGCUUGCACCAUAAGCGUCCCUCCCCCAGGCCCUAGUGUUAAACAUUGUUUGACAACUGCCAGUCCCUGGGGAAGUGAUCGAACCAUGAGUUGCUGGCCUGGACCACAAAUGAAAUCAUGAUGGAUUCAUAAUCUGGCAGCAUUAUGGAAAGAUGUUGGGGGCUUAUUUGGAAGUGGGACUCCCCAGGCAAGGGAAUAAACUUAGCGUCCUGUGUCAUGAUCAGACAA
Rattus norvegicus (Norway rat) is the source of this 3990-nucleotide non-coding RNA. The record is from RefSeq and is a predicted model, not a curated record. Lineage: Eukaryota; Metazoa; Chordata; Mammalia; Rodentia; Muridae.